GGGGAUAUAGCUCAGCAGCAUAGUGUCUGCCUGACAAACACAAGGCCCUGAGUCUGAUUCCCAGUACCUCCC
RNAcentral lists this transfer RNA (72 nucleotides) under Cavia porcellus (domestic guinea pig). It matches the Rfam family "tRNA". Rfam says of the family: Transfer RNA (tRNA) molecules are approximately 80 nucleotides in length. Lineage: Eukaryota; Metazoa; Chordata; Mammalia; Rodentia; Caviidae. The record is from Rfam by way of RNAcentral.